CAUCCUGCUCCCAAAUAUCUGCACCUCCGUGCAACUGGCACCGCUCUGUGCUGCCCAGCCUGGAGAGGGGCUGGUGGUGAGGGAUUUAGAAAGACAACACACCCAGGACUGGACUUCUGGCUUGCUUUAAAUGAUUCUUGAGCACAAAUUGCUCUUUUCCCUCAGUUUAAUAAUCAGAAGACCCAGCCACAAGCCUCGCAAGCCUGGUCUGCAGAGAUAAGGCAGAGUCGCUCCUCCGGCUUGGAUGUGCCUGGAGAGGAUGGUGAGGUGUGGACGAGCUGCUCCCCGCAGGAGCAGGGCUGCACACCCCCAGGGCUGCUGGGGAGGGUACAGGAGACCCUCAGCCCGCCCCGGGGAGCGGCUCAGAGAAAGCAGAGAGUGCCAGAGCCCCCCGGCUUCAGCGCUGGCUGCGGCUCUUGGCGGGCUCGCUCUGCCUUUCAGCCUCGGCUGGAACGAUCUGCAGCUCAAACGCCCCCCCGAGAGCCGCUAACCUUUGGAUAAGGUUUGGCACCGUUAUCCUGCUUGGGUUAAUUGGGAGUUAGGGAGAGCCCGGGAGUGACGCGGCUGCUUCCAUCCGUCCGUCCGUCCGUCUGUCCGUCCGUCCGUCCGUCCGUCCGUCCGUCUGUCUGUCCAUCCGCCCCUCCAGCCUUCCCCGCUGCGCUGCGGGCAGCGAUGGAGAGAGAAGCGGAGAGAUGUCUCCCGAGCCCGACACAUCCAUGACAUUCUGGAUGCUCAACGAAGAGCCAAAAGCCCAUUGCCUCCACCCUUGGCGUGAGCACAGAAAGGCUUGGGUUGGAAGGGACCUUAAAGGUCAGCUGGGUGGCUCCCAGUGGAACCACUCCACUCCCCGACAUCGAGGGCUGCUGCCCGGGGGUGCGGCGUGAUGCCCGGUGGGACCAUUUUGGGUCUCCCAGGGGUUCAGGGGUGCCGGGGCGGGGGCACGGAUGCGCCAGGGCUAUUUGAGGAAAAAAAUCACGCACCAGACAGAGGUUUGGAUACAUUUUCGUUCCUUCUUCCCUGAUGCCCCCUGCAGCCUCCAGAAACAGAGCUCCUUCACGCCUUCUUUCAUAACGAACUCGUCUUAGGAUGAAUUAAAAAAAAUAAUAUUAAUAAAAAAGAAAAAGAAAUCGUUGGAUUAAUCCCUCACGGUGUCCGUCGUAACACUCAUUUCUCUGGGCUGUGAGGAGGCGAAACGGCGGCUGCGGCAGCCGAGGGCAGCGCUGACGGCCCCGAGAUUUUCAAUUUCGCCCCUUAAAUCCCGGCCCGUCAAGACGCUGCUGAACCCGGGGCGAAGCCGUGCCCCGCUCGGCUUUCGCGACCUAUCUGUGCACUCACAUGGAAUAAUUCCCACGCAAAGCCAAGGAUGCGCCACGCUCAGUCGCCCUCCUCCUCCGCUGCCAUCAAAAAAAAAUAAUUUUUUUGGGGGGCCUGCUGUAGAAGCAGCUCGCUCAUCCCCGCGCCGGGAGCAGCGGCUGAGAGACCCCUCAGGGGCACAGCCCUCACCGUGGAAAUUUAGCUUUAUUCCGGUUUUUUUGCGCCCUUCACCCUCUUUGCACCCUAUUUGCUUUUGGAUUGUGGCUGGGGAAAAAAUUAAAAGGUUUUUAAGGAGGGGAUUUAAGGGUUUUUUACCUAGGAAUUGGGGUUUUUUUCCCCAUCUCUGCUCAGUACUGCAUCCCACCUGCAACCGCAGCCUGGGCGCUCCCUCCCUACUCCCUCAACAACGAUACUAGGAAAUAAUUUAGUGGUGGCUUUUCCUCUGAACUGUAGUAAAACAAUGUUCUUUUUUUGUCUUCCAAAACAGCAAAGGAAACAGAAAUUCCUCCCUUCCCCCACCUUUCAAAGAACAUACAUACAUACAUAUAUAUAAAUAUAUUUUUUUAAACAACGAUUCAAAGGCUCUGCCGCCGCAGAGGGGACGUGCUUUCCCACACACCGCCCCCGAAUGCCAUCGCUCCCCCUGCCACUCUCCACUUGUCUGUGCCACAGGACCGGGAUUUCCCAUUGCCGUUUGCAGCUAUGUUGGCCGCUCACCUCGG
Taeniopygia guttata (zebra finch) is the source of this 2036-nucleotide long non-coding RNA. RefSeq lists it as uncharacterized. NCBI's taxonomy places the organism in Eukaryota, Metazoa, Chordata, Aves, Passeriformes, Estrildidae. The record is from RefSeq and is a predicted model, not a curated record.